UACGAAGGGAGCUAGCGUUGUUCGGAAUCACUGGGCGUAAAGCGCACGUAGGCGGAUGUGUCAGUCAGGGGUGAAAUCCCGGAGCUCAACUUCGGAACUGCCUUUGAUACAGCACAUCUGGAGUCCGGAAGAGGUGGGUGGAAUUCCUAGUGUAGAGGUGAAAUUCGUAGAUAUUAGGAAGAACACCGGUGACGAAGGCGGCCCACUGGUCCGGUACUGACGCUGAGGUGCGAAAGCGUGGGGAGCAAACAGG
Molecule: ribosomal RNA, 253 nt
Filed under: uncultured bacterium
Lineage: Bacteria
Description: partial 16S ribosomal RNA
Rfam family: Bacterial small subunit ribosomal RNA
Source: RNAcentral